RNAcentral lists this RNase P RNA (171 nucleotides) under Methanobacteriota archaeon. Its description in RNAcentral is "Euryarchaeota archaeon partial RNase P RNA component". It matches the Rfam family "Archaeal RNase P", at positions 1 to 180 of the family's 288-position model. Rfam says of the family: Ribonuclease P (RNase P) is a ubiquitous endoribonuclease, found in archaea, bacteria and eukarya as well as chloroplasts and mitochondria. Its best characterised activity is the generation of mature 5'-ends of tRNAs by cleaving the 5'-leader elements of precursor-tRNAs. Lineage: Archaea; Methanobacteriati; Methanobacteriota. The record is from RNAcentral.
AGGAGGUGGAGGGCGACCGACGGCCUUAGGCUGAGGAAAGUCCCCUCUCCAUGAGCAAGGCAGCCGUAAGGAAUCCGAGAGGAUUGGCAAUGCAACAGAAACGACACAGCCUCACAAUGGGAAUGAUCGUCUAGGACGUGACGUCUGUGAAGGAUUUGGUGAAACGAGCAC